GUGAUGAAGAGGAGGAGGAGGAGGUGAUAGAAGACAGUGAUGAUGGUGAUCAUGGUGAUGAAGAGGAGGAGGAGGUGAUAGAAGACAGUGAUGAUGGUGAUCAUGGUGAUGAGGAGGAGGUGAUAGAAGACAGUGAUGAUGGUGAUCAUGGUGAUGAGGAGGAGGUGAUAGAAGACAGUGAUGAUGGUGGUCAUGGUGAUGAGGAGGAGGUGAUAGAAGACAGUGAUGAUGGUGAUCAUGGUGAUGAGGAGGAGGUGAUAGAAGACAGUGAUGAUGGUGAUCAUGGUGAUGAGGAGGAGGUGAUAGAAGACAGUGAUGAUGGUGAUGAGGAGGAGGACGAGGUGAUAGAAGACAGUGAUGAUGGUGAUGAUGAGGAGGAGGAGGUGAUAGAAGACAGCGAUGAUGGUGAUGAUGGUGAUGAGGAGGAGGACGAGGUGAUAGAAGACAGUGAUGAUGGUGAUGAUGGUGAUGAUGAGGAGGAGGAGGUGAUAGAAGACAGUGAUGAUGGUGAUGAUGAGGAGGAGGAGGUGAUAGAAGACAGUGAUGAUGGUGGUCAUUGUGAUGAGGAGGUGAUAGAAGACAGUGAUGAUGGUGGUCAUGGUGAUGAGGAGGAGGUGAUAGAAGACAGUGAUGAUGGUGAUCAUGGUGAUGAGGAGGAGGUGAUAGAAGACAGUGAUGAUGGUGGUCAUGGUGAUGAGGAGGAGGUGAUAGAAGACAGUGAUGAUGGUGAUGAUGGUGAUGAUGAGGAGGAGGAGGUGAUAGAAGACAGUGAUGAUGGUGAUCAUGGUGAUGAUGAGGAGGAGGAGGUGAUAGAAGACAGUGAUGAUGGUGAUCAUGGUGAUGAGGAGG
RNAcentral lists this long non-coding RNA (849 nucleotides) under Salmo salar (Atlantic salmon). Its description in RNAcentral is "lncRNA (ENSSSAG00000093926.1, ENSSSAG00000114231.1)". The record is from RNAcentral. Lineage: Eukaryota; Metazoa; Chordata; Actinopteri; Salmoniformes; Salmonidae.